This 2925-nucleotide ribosomal RNA is filed under the name Escherichia coli O145:H28 str. RM12761. Its description in RNAcentral is "bacterial LSU rRNA". It matches the Rfam family "Bacterial large subunit ribosomal RNA". RNAcentral also lists the same sequence under 1 other name. The record is from RNAcentral. Lineage: Bacteria; Pseudomonadati; Pseudomonadota; Gammaproteobacteria; Enterobacterales; Enterobacteriaceae.
GGUUAAGCGACUAAGCGUACACGGUGGAUGCCCUGGCAGUCAGAGGCGAUGAAGGACGUGCUAAUCUGCGAUAAGCGUCGGUAAGGUGAUAUGAACCGUUAUAACCGGCGAUUUCCGAAUGGGGAAACCCAGUGUGUUUCGACACACUAUCAUUAACUGAAUCCAUAGGUUAAUGAGGCGAACCGGGGGAACUGAAACAUCUAAGUACCCCGAGGAAAAGAAAUCAACCGAGAUUCCCCCAGUAGCGGCGAGCGAACGGGGAGCAGCCCAGAGCCUGAAUCAGUGUGUGUGUUAGUGGAAGCGUCUGGAAAGGCGCGCGAUACAGGGUGACAGCCCCGUACACAAAAAUGCACAUACUGUGAGCUCGAUGAGUAGGGCGGGACACGUGGUAUCCUGUCUGAAUAUGGGGGGACCAUCCUCCAAGGCUAAAUACUCCUGACUGACCGAUAGUGAACCAGUACCGUGAGGGAAAGGCGAAAAGAACCCCAGCGAGGGGAGUGAAAAAGAACCUGAAACCGUGUACGUACAAGCAGUGGGAGCACGCUUCGGCGUGUGACUGCGUACCUUUUGUAUAAUGGGUCAGCGACUUAUAUUCUGUAGCAAGGUUAACCGAAUAGGGGAGCCGAAGGGAAACCGAGUCUUAACUGGGCGUUAAGUUGCAGGGUAUAGACCCGAAACCCGGUGAUCUAGCCAUGGGCAGGUUGAAGGUUGGGUAACACUAACUGGAGGACCGAACCGACUAAUGUUGAAAAAUUAGCGGAUGACUUGUGGCUGGGGGUGAAAGGCCAAUCAAACCGGGAGAUAGCUGGUUCUCCCCGAAAGCUAUUUAGGUAGCGCCUCGUGAAUUCAUCUCCGGGGGUAGAGCACUGUUUCGGCAAGGGGGUCAUCCCGACUUACCAACCCGAUGCAAACUGCGAAUACCGGAGAAUGUUAUCACGGGAGACACACGGCGGGUGCUAACGUCCGUCGUGAAGAGGGAAACAACCCAGACCGCCAGCUAAGGUCCCAAAGUCAUGGUUAAGUGGGAAACGAUGUGGGAAGGCCCAGACAGCCAGGAUGUUGGCUUAGAAGCAGCCAUCAUUUAAAGAAAGCGUAAUAGCUCACUGGUCGAGUCGGCCUGCGCGGAAGAUGUAACGGGGCUAAACCAUGCACCGAAGCUGCGGCAGCGACACUAUGUGUUGUUGGGUAGGGGAGCGUUCUGUAAGCCUGUGAAGGUGUACUGUGAGGUAUGCUGGAGGUAUCAGAAGUGCGAAUGCUGACAUAAGUAACGAUAAAGCGGGUGAAAAGCCCGCUCGCCGGAAGACCAAGGGUUCCUGUCCAACGUUAAUCGGGGCAGGGUGAGUCGACCCCUAAGGCGAGGCCGAAAGGCGUAGUCGAUGGGAAACAGGUUAAUAUUCCUGUACUUGGUGUUACUGCGAAGGGGGGACGGAGAAGGCUAUGUUGGCCGGGCGACGGUUGUCCCGGUUUAAGCGUGUAGGCUGGUUUUCCAGGCAAAUCCGGAAAAUCAAGGCUGAGGCGUGAUGACGAGGCACUACGGUGCUGAAGCAACAAAUGCCCUGCUUCCAGGAAAAGCCUCUAAGCAUCAGGUAACAUCAAAUCGUACCCCAAACCGACACAGGUGGUCAGGUAGAGAAUACCAAGGCGCUUGAGAGAACUCGGGUGAAGGAACUAGGCAAAAUGGUGCCGUAACUUCGGGAGAAGGCACGCUGAUAUGUAGGUGAAGUCCCUCGCGGAUGGAGCUGAAAUCAGUCGAAGAUACCAGCUGGCUGCAACUGUUUAUUAAAAACACAGCACUGUGCAAACACGAAAGUGGACGUAUACGGUGUGACGCCUGCCCGGUGCCGGAAGGUUAAUUGAUGGGGUUAGCGGUAACGCGAAGCUCUUGAUCGAAGCCCCGGUAAACGGCGGCCGUAACUAUAACGGUCCUAAGGUAGCGAAAUUCCUUGUCGGGUAAGUUCCGACCUGCACGAAUGGCGUAAUGAUGGCCAGGCUGUCUCCACCCGAGACUCAGUGAAAUUGAACUCGCUGUGAAGAUGCAGUGUACCCGCGGCAAGACGGAAAGACCCCGUGAACCUUUACUAUAGCUUGACACUGAACAUUGAGCCUUGAUGUGUAGGAUAGGUGGGAGGCUUUGAAGUGUGGACGCCAGUCUGCAUGGAGCCGACCUUGAAAUACCACCCUUUAAUGUUUGAUGUUCUAACGUUGACCCGUGAUCCGGGUUGCGGACAGUGUCUGGUGGGUAGUUUGACUGGGGCGGUCUCCUCCUAAAGAGUAACGGAGGAGCACGAAGGUUGGCUAAUCCUGGUCGGACAUCAGGAGGUUAGUGCAAUGGCAUAAGCCAGCUUGACUGCGAGCGUGACGGCGCGAGCAGGUGCGAAAGCAGGUCAUAGUGAUCCGGUGGUUCUGAAUGGAAGGGCCAUCGCUCAACGGAUAAAAGGUACUCCGGGGAUAACAGGCUGAUACCGCCCAAGAGUUCAUAUCGACGGCGGUGUUUGGCACCUCGAUGUCGGCUCAUCACAUCCUGGGGCUGAAGUAGGUCCCAAGGGUAUGGCUGUUCGCCAUUUAAAGUGGUACGCGAGCUGGGUUUAGAACGUCGUGAGACAGUUCGGUCCCUAUCUGCCGUGGGCGCUGGAGAACUGAGGGGGGCUGCUCCUAGUACGAGAGGACCGGAGUGGACGCAUCACUGGUGUUCGGGUUGUCAUGCCAAUGGCACUGCCCGGUAGCUAAAUGCGGAAGAGAUAAGUGCUGAAAGCAUCUAAGCACGAAACUUGCCCCGAGAUGAGUUCUCCCUGACUCCUUGAGAGUCCUGAAGGAACGUUGAAGACGACGACGUUGAUAGGCCGGGUGUGUAAGCGCAGCGAUGCGUUGAGCUAACCGGUACUAAUGAACCGUGAGGCUUAACCUUACAACGCCGAAGGUGUUUUG